Molecule: long non-coding RNA, 351 nt
Organism: Dioscorea cayenensis subsp. rotundata (Guinea yam)
Lineage: Eukaryota; Viridiplantae; Streptophyta; Magnoliopsida; Dioscoreales; Dioscoreaceae
Exons: 3
Source: RefSeq, a predicted model, not a curated record
CCCCUUUCUUUUACCUGGCCACCAACCUGCCGUCGUUCCUCUUCUCCUACCCUUCCAAGCCCUCAUCCGUUCAUGCCCAUUGACAAGAACAACCAGAAUAAGCAAUAAUGGUUCAGCGCAGCGCUAUGGUUUCUUCUCGGCAUGCAACGAAAGCCUCAUGGGAAGGACACGGGGAGCUUUGGCAAGCACCGGAACAAGACCCAAAAGAGCCGCUACGAUGAUUGUGGCUACCCAUCCGCACGCAUCUGCAAAAAAAACUAGGGCCGUGAACGAGAUUAGGAAGAAGACGAUGGGGACUGGGAGUAUGAGGUAUCUCCGCCAUGUUCGGGUUUAAGAGCAACUUUCGUGAAG